AAAGCUGUCUGGGCUGGCAAUGAACUAGUUCUCCAGGGAGCAGGUAGUGGAUCUAUCAUACAUUUUGAAGUAAACGCAGGGUGCUUAUGUGAUCGCCCACAGCAAACCAAGCCUAUGUUGAUUGUCUCCUUGACAUUCACUUCUGCUUCUUUUUAAAAACAGGGAGAAUAAUUAAUGGAAAACAAAUGCCUGACAACUGGCUUUGUUUCUUCUCCACCUACAUGCCCACACAUAGCCAGACACUCAUCCCCCUGACUUCUGUGAGCCAAUGAUUCACUAAUUUAAAAAUAGAUAGCAGUUGUUCUUGUUAUUGGAGCUCUGAACUCCUGAGUUCAAAAGGGCCAUGACAACAAUACCAAAUGUGGUUACUCUAAUGUAUUACCAACUGCAUCAUCUGAGAUUUUUCUUAGUGAUGUAUGCUAACAGAAACCUAACACUGUUGGAACUCAGGAAAUCCACACAGCAAAGUGCAUAUAAUGCAGAUUAGAACUGUGUGAAGUUAAAGGGGGGACCCCUGAAUUGUAAUAAGGUUUAAAAUUUGUAAAAGCCAACAGCCUCAGCUUAGCACAUAAUUCCAUUUGAUAUUUUAAAAUUCCCAUUUAAAACUUAAAUUGCUAAGAUGUUCAGCACAUUUAAAUUUAUUGAGAGAACGUGCUUUUAAUAUUGUCCGGCUCUAACGUUUCCAGAUACUUCCAUGUGAGGAUUAUAAUAGCCUUGCUUUAUGAAGACCAUGGCAAAUUAACUCCCACCCCACACAUUUUACAGGAUCUAGUUCUUCUGGUCAUUUGAUUGCAUAUUAUCCCUCAAUUUCAUCCUCUUUGGCGUACAUGCCAGAACUCUGACAGACCCACAAUCUCCUCUAACCUCCUGCAAGAAAAGGUUUUGUGGGGAAAUAUAAUUCUUUAUCAUUCACUAGCACAGGCAUUUUGUAUAUCAAAAAGGAUCAUUUGCCAGGACUCUUGAUUGAAAUCAAGGCCAGAUACAAAAGGCUCCCCUCUACUGGUACUUGCAUUCUGGAAGUUUCCAUCAAGGAAGGGUUUGAUGUCUGUGAGGCACUGAGAAACACACAGCACUCAGGCUUUGUUGGGGACCCCACAAUGAAUUCUCCAGUUGUAGCAAGAAGGAAAGACAACACUGAGGCAGGGGGAUGACGACAUGGAAGGUGCUCUGGGAAGGCUGGGUUGGCUCUUCUUAUAGGUAUAGUGAUGAUGCUGCCUCAGCUCUCCCUACAGCCUGCUUUAUACACAGGGGGAGACUUGGAAAGGUAGCAGGAGCCUGAGCUACCUACUAAACCAUGAGGGUGUUUUAAUGACCAGGCUUGCCUGAAAUAGUACCAGCUGUUUGUAACACUCCAGGGGUUUAGCUCAAUUCACAAUCACAAACCAUUUCAAGGACAUUGAUAUAUCUUUGUGUUACUUUCACAAUGUCAUCUUCUGUUUCCUUUUGAUAUUGGCUCAUUUGCUUUUUGGCUUUCUUUGGCUUGAUUCUGUUAUGCAUAUAUCCUGUGAUAUUAAGCUAUGGCGUGCCAUUAUGUUUUCCAGACAACGCUUAGAUGUGUCUGGUUAGUUUGUGUCAUCUGAACGUGCAAUUCUUUUUUUUGUAGAUCUUUGGGAUGGAACCCUUUUCAGGACUGUAUGCCAUUUAAAUUUCUCAUGCAAGCUGUUUCUAGUAAAAGUUUGAAUAUUUAUAAAUUUC
RNAcentral lists this long non-coding RNA (1695 nucleotides) under Mus musculus (house mouse). Its description in RNAcentral is "long non-coding RNA chr1:40855191-40856886". The record is from RNAcentral. Lineage: Eukaryota; Metazoa; Chordata; Mammalia; Rodentia; Muridae.